This is a long non-coding RNA of Ictalurus punctatus (channel catfish), 1017 nucleotides long. Lineage: Eukaryota; Metazoa; Chordata; Actinopteri; Siluriformes; Ictaluridae. The record is from Ensembl.
AAAUAGAAGUCCAGCCCAGUGGGUUUAGUGCACUCAAUCGUGUGGGAGAGACCUGACCCUGGAUGACAUGUAGCACAGAUUCAACCCUCGUCAGCUGUCUCGUAUAUGUUAUUGCAUAAUGGGAUGAAACUUGUUCUUGCAGUAUAUUUUUUAAGGGAAGACAUUUCCAGCUUACUAGUAACUUUGACGCCUAAUUACCCCACAUAAAACAGCCAUGACUGAGCUGCUUAAAUCCAACACAUUCAUUUUUUUGCCAAACAACAUAUUGAGCAUUGUUGGAUUCGUCUCCCUACUCUUCCCUGUGUUCGUGGAGAAUCCCCUGAAGAAAGAAAGCAACAGCACAUUAAGGUCAGUUUAUUAAUCCAUUUCCUCCAUGUCCCUGAAGGUAAACGGCGCUGAGCAUAAUGCUGUCUGGAAGAAGAGCCAGUGCUUCACGAAUAUCUUACACUGGCAGUCAUUAAGGGGCGACUGCUAUUAAGCUCGUAAACACUGGACACCUCAACUGUCCAAUUUGGGUGAGUCUGUGCCCAUAAUAGCCUCAGAUUCAUGUUCUUGGCUGACAGGAAUGGAACCUGACGUGGUCUUCUGCAGUUGUAAUUCAUGCACCUCAAGAUGCCUGCAGAUGACUACAUCUGGAAGCUAUUAGCUGGAAAACACAAUUGGAGCACAGCAUGAAGCCUUUCCUAGUCCAAGUUCAAAUUUGAUUACAAUACCAAAGAAAAUUAAUAAUUUACACAUGUUUUUCUAAGGGUAUGUCACCUUUACUCUUGAUUUUUCUAAUAAUUUUGGACACUAAUGAAACGUGACACUAAGAGCUCUCAUACUGCAUAUCUAGCAAUCUACAAAAUGUAUAUUUAUAUGUAAAGUCAUAAUUAAAACUUUUGCACGCUUUGUGUUGAAACUCACCCCUAAAGUAGCAUAUCAUAUGUUUCAGAAUUUCAUUGGCUAUACAAUAAGCCAGUCAUCCACACCAUCGGUUGCAACAUGCUCAAACUUUUCAGUAAGGAAAGGGGGGAG